Ribosomal RNA from Danio rerio (zebrafish), 117 nucleotides. Lineage: Eukaryota; Metazoa; Chordata; Actinopteri; Cypriniformes; Danionidae. The record is from Ensembl.
GGCCACAGCCAUAUCACCCUGCAGCCCAAGACCAGCUACUCACUGAAGCUGAGCAGGACUGAGCCCGGUUAGUACCUGGAUGGGAGACCACAUGGGAAAACUAGGUUGCUGUUGGAA